AAGGUUGAAAAAUAAACUUCGAUAAAAAAAACUCAAAAUCAACUCCAAAUUUAAAGUUGAAAAUUCAAAUUUUAGCUAAUAAGCAUAAGCAUAAGUGAAAAGACGAGGCUGUAAAAGUGAACCAUCCCUUUGUUUCAUCAAAAUUAAUUUUGACAUGUCCUAAUCAUUCUGACGUAGCAAAGUAGAGAGAAGCAAAAAAAUCUCUGAUCUUACAUAUCUGGUAGACUGAUACUACUGAUGUUCACAACAACAUGAAGUGAAAUAGUGACUGGUGAGCAUGCCCUCAGCUAUUUCGAAUAAAUAUAAGCUAAAUUUAUAAUUGAAGUCACAUACUCACAUGGCUGGAUUUCCUUUUCCUAGAUCAAAAACUGAAAUUUCUAAUCUUCAUAAAACAGAACUGAAACUUCCAACAGGGGAGCAGAGCAGGCCGCCUGAAAUACUGAAAUAGAACUUUAUUCAGACUGCAGAGCUUUUCAUAUUUGGUAUGAUUGUCAUUGUACACAUUAAAAAUCUCAUUGAACAGCGCAUUUAAUAAACAUUACAAGAAUAUAAAUUAAGUCUGGAAAUACAAAAGACUCGACCAAAUUAUCAUCUAUGUCCAUUAAGUUGGCAACUAAAGCACACUUCUGCUUUCCUCUGUAAUGGAUAUCUGUUAUAACUGAUACUCAAUGAAUCUGGCCAAACGAAGAAUUGUUCUUUCCCUCUUCAAUUAUCAACAGCACCCUUUAAAAUACAUCAAUGGUCCUUCCUUACUGUUCAUUUUUCCAAAGAGAAAAUUGCACUGCGAUCAGCACAAAUGCUCUUCUGUAUCAAUAUCUCCUGUUAAAUUGUCAUAAGUUAUAACAGCACCAUGGACCCUAAAUAUUUCACUGCUUCUGUAUGCAGUAGUUUUUUCUCAAGAAAUGGCAGCACUGUCUGUCUUUGCUUCAUCAAUACUCUCAAAGGUCACUACAUUUGCUGUUGAAUAUGCUCUCGACGACAUCAAACUUGCUUGCACAGUUAGGAGUGAGAUAGAAAAGCUGAGAAACUCAUUGAAGGCUAUUUGCGCUGUUCUUAAAGAUGCUGAAAGGAAGCAAUCUACAUCUAGUUCACUUAAACAUUGGCUGGAAAACCUCAAAGACAUUGUCUACGACAUAGAUGAUGUUCUCGAUGACGUUGGGACACGAGCAUUGCAGCAGAAAGUUGGAAAAGGUGAAAUCCGUACUUAUUUUGCUCAACUAUUCAUUUUUCCUUUUGAACUGGGAAGAAAGAUAAGAAGGGUUCGUGAAAGGCUAAAUGAAAUAUCUGCACUUAAAAGAAAUUUUGAUUUGAAAGAAGAACCAAUAGACACACCUUCAGAUCGAAUUGUACAGAGAGAAACAUACUCAAUUGUAGAUGAGCGAAAGAUUGUUGGGAGAGAUAAAGCUAAAAAUGAUAUUGUGAAGGUGAUUUCAGAAGCUGCUGAAUCUAAUUCUGAUACACUGUCAGUGCUUCCACUAAUUGGAAUGGGAGGUGUAGGCAAGACUGCCCUAGCAAAACUGGUAUUUAAUGACAAACGAACCAAAGAAAAGUUUGAUAAGAUGCUAUGGGCAUGUGUAGCUAAUGUGUCUGAUCUUAAACAUAUAGUAGAUAUUAUCAUACAAUCAGAUAGCGGUGAAAGCAACAAGCAAUUAACCCUAGAAGCACUACAAAAGAAACUUCAUGAGCUUUCAGGAGAUAAGAGAUACUUGCUAGUGUUAGACGACAUAUCACAUGAUAACAUUAAUGAUUGGGAAGAAUUGAUGAACCUGCUACCGAGUGGUAGAAGUGGAAGCAUGAUUUUAAUCACCACGCGUCUCUCAAAAAUUGCAUCAGUAUUGAAGACCAUAGAGCCAUAUGAAGUGCCAAAACUUCCACAUGAAGAAUGCAUGAAAGUAUUUGCUCGAUAUGCAUUCAAAGGACAGAAGGCAAAGGAUACUGAGUUACUAAAAAUUGGAGAAUCCAUUGUACAGAAAUGUGAUGGUCUUCCUUUAGCAGUUAGGACUCUGGGAUCCCUAUUGUCUAUGGAAGAUAUCUCUAAGUGGCAAGAAGUUAAGGAAACAAAUAUCCCGAACACGGAUAUCUUAUCAGUUUUAAAACUGAGUUAUGAUGCACUUCCAUCUGAUUUAAGAGCAUGUUUUGCCAGCUUAUCCACUUUCCCAAAGGACUAUGAGAUUUUCAGAGAACUUUUAAUAAUGUAUUGGAUGGCAAUGGGUCUGUUGAAUACAGCUAGUGGAAGUAAGGAGGCAAUAAGAAUGGGAGAGAGAUAUUUUAGUGAGCUUGCAGGGAGAUCUCUUUUCCAAGACUAUGUUUUUAGUCAUGAUGGCACCAUCUCACAUUGUAAAAUGCAUAGCUUUGUUCAUGACCUAGCAAUAUCUGUAUCUCCCAAUGAGCAUGCAACAAUUAGCUGUGAAAACUUUAGUGCCUCCAAAAGAGUUAAGCAUCUUGUGUGGGACCAGAAGGAGUUCUCAAAGGACCUAAAAUUUCCAAAACAACUGAGAAGGGCAAGGAAGGCAAGGACAUUUGCGAGUAGGCACAACUAUGGUACUGUGAGCAAAUCCUUUCUUGAAGAUCUCUUGGCAACCUUUACACGCCUACGAAUCUUGGUUUUCUCUGAAGUUGAGUUUGAGGAGUUACCAAGUUCAAUUGGAAAUUUGAAGCACCUAAGAUACCUAGAUCUGCAAUGGAAUAUGAAGAUCAAAUACCUUCCCAAUUCUCUGUGUAAGCUGGUGAAUUUGCAAACACUUCAACUUGCUUGGUGCAAAGAACUGGAGGAGCUGCCAAGAGAUGUUAAAAGACUUGUCAGCUUGAGGUACUUAAUCCUCACAUCUAAGCAACAAUAUCUUCCUAAUGAUGCCCUCAUGGGUUGGACUUCCAUGGUAUUUCUACAGAUUAGUGCCUGCCCAAUGUUAACAUCACUGACAGAAGGAUUUGGCAGCCUCAGUGCACUUAGAGAGCUAUUUGUCUUCAAUUGUCCAAAUUUGCCCUCUCUCCCCUCUAGCAUGAACCGGUUAGUCACCCUUCAGAAAUUGGUGAUUCAUAACUGUGAUGAGUUAAAUUUGAUGGAACCAAAGGAAGCAAUGGGUGGAAUGAAGAGUCUCAAAUCAAUUGAACUUGUGGGGCUUCCAAAGUUUGAGACCUUUCCAGAUAGCUUUGCAUCAGCUGCUUCCACUCUUGAAUACCUGAAGGUUAGUGACUGCAAAGAAUUCAAGAAGUUGCCAGAUUUCAUCCAGAGAUUUUCUUCUCUGAAGAAAAUUGAGAUCCCUGAAAGGCGUCAAUAUUCCAGUAAAACCUGGGCAUAGAAGUAAGUACAUCUACCUUAGAGUGGUCCAUACUUCCAUUAUCAAUCCAUAAUCCAGUUACUUGUCUUUAAUUGUUUUUUUACUACACAUUUUAUUAGUGAUAAUAUUCAAAACAUUUGCACACUUGUUCACUUCACCCAUAUGUUUGCAUGCAGAUGAUAUACGCUUAUAAAUUAACCACCAUGGUGGUUGAAGUUGUGCUACACUGUUGCUUCAAAAGCGCAAGCUCAGUUCUUGCGAAAAAUAUCAAACUAAGCAAGGGGAAUUCCGUCAUUCCAUGGAACUCUGCAAUUCCGUGUGCACUGUUGCUUAUUAUUACUUGUUCUAAAAAAUAGGUGGCUGUGCGUGUUGCGUGCAAUACACCAAUGUAUCCCUAUAAGCAUUUUAUAGGUUGCUGCACAAUAAUUGUGUCAAUAAAAAAAACAUGCUUUAGCUAUAAGCGUUUGAAUUAUUAAUGGUAACUGGUCAAAUGUAAUAUGUACAUUACUCCUAAUAAAAUGAGUGAAUAUAAAAGCAAAUAUGAUUGUUCAGCAAUAAAGGCCGGAGACCUUGGUCUUGUUCAAAUGUGCUUGCAUCCUUGCAAAAAGUGUGAUCUUUUUCUUUCUUUUUUCUUUUUUUUUUUUUUUUUUUUGCAGAGUCCCUUUCCUGCUUGGAAGAACCCUGAUUGUAAUUUUAGUUGCUUGACAACGAGCAGGAUGAUCUGGCUGAGAUCACUUCAAAGUAAUCUCAGUGUUUCAUUGUUAGCACAAACUAUGCAGUAGCUUGCAAUUUCGUUUGUUUGAUAUGAAUUUCUUCAGUGCUAUGCAUUUAAUUGCAUACAUUUAGAUAGAUAUUAUGGCUUCUUUCCACCUCGCUCGGCACGGGCGGGGAAAACAAACAAAAUGAGCCUACCAAGGGAGCUUAGUACUGUACCCACUUAAACCGAUAAAACGCUCAUCUGAUACUAAUACUGAUAAUGAUAAUGAGGUCAUAUAUCAAUACAACACAAGAAAUGAUAUUUUCUACCACUAAUUCUCUUCCUAAUGCCACUGAGCCAGCGAUGGCAUGGCACAUCGGCCGCUCAUGGUUUGAUCCAGAAAUAAAAAUCGGAUCGAGUCACUAUACAGAGUAUCUAUUUUGGGGAUCAAUUUUCUCGCUCUUUUGCGAGAAAUUCGUAGACAGAAAUGAAUCUAGUAGCAUUUUAUUAUCUGAUUUGCACAGAUUGGAUUCAGAAUCCACUUCCUCUGCGGUUGGUCUGGAGGGAAGGUGAGAGAGGGGGAGAUGAGGAGUCACAGGCUAACCUUCGCCGCCAUCGUCGCUCGCCGUUGGCUGAAGGGGGACAAGCGGACUGGAUGGCUCCCGGUGAACGACGGCUAGAGCCGCCGCCGCCCGCAGCAUCCAUCUCCGCCGGCGGCCGCCGCCGGCGACCGGGUAGCGGCUAGCCGGCGAGAGAGCGGAGAAAGACGAGGAGCAAAUCCGCGAGGUAGAGAGAAAGGAAACAGGAGACUGACAUAUGGGACCAUGUAGCAAUGGUCAUCGAGCUCACAUAGUAAACACUACUUCACGAUAGAUUUUCCUGGAAGCCGCCCCCUUUUGUUUCCAUGCGG
RNAcentral lists this long non-coding RNA (4885 nucleotides) under Oryza sativa (Asian cultivated rice). RNAcentral describes it as "long non-coding RNA (OSAT_LNC000181)". The record is from RNAcentral. Lineage: Eukaryota; Viridiplantae; Streptophyta; Magnoliopsida; Poales; Poaceae.